GGGUUGUGAGGUUAAGCGACUAAGCGUACACGGUGGAUGCCCUGGCAGUCAGAGGCGAUGAAGGGCGUGCUAAUCUGCGAUAAGCGCCGGUAAGGUGAUAUGAACCGUUAUAACCGACGAUACCCGAAUGGGGAAACCCAGUGUGACUCGUCACACUAUCAUUAACUGAAUCCAUAGGUUAAUGAGGCGAACCGGGGGAACUGAAACAUCUAAGUACCCCGAGGAAAAGAAAUCAACCGAGAUUCCCCCAGUAGCGGCGAGCGAACGGGGAGGAGCCCAGAGCCUGAAUCAGCAUGUGUGUUAGUGGAAGCGUCUGGAAAGGCGCGCGAUACAGGGUGACAGCCCCGUACACAAAAGCGCAUGUGCUGUGAGCUCGAUGAGUAGGGCGGGACACGUGGUAUCCUGUCUGAAUAUGGGGGGACCAUCCUCCAAGGCUAAAUACUCCUGACUGACCGAUAGUGAACCAGUACCGUGAGGGAAAGGCGAAAAGAACCCCGGCGAGGGGAGUGAAAAAGAACCUGAAACCGUGUACGUACAAGCAGUGGGAGCACAGGUUUACCUGUGUGACUGCGUACCUUUUGUAUAAUGGGUCAGCGACUUAUAUUCUGUAGCAAGGUUAACCGAAUAGGGGAGCCGCAGGGAAACCGAGUCUUAAUUGGGCGUUAAGUUGCAGGGUAUAGACCCGAAACCCGGUGAUCUAGCCAUGGGCAGGUUGAAGGUUGGGUAACACUAACUGGAGGACCGAACCGACUAAUGUUGAAAAAUUAGCGGAUGACCUGUGGCUGGGGGUGAAAGGCCAAUCAAACCGGGAGAUAGCUGGUUCUCCCCGAAAGCUAUUUAGGUAGCGCCUCGUGA
This 855-nucleotide ribosomal RNA is filed under the name Salmonella enterica. RNAcentral describes it as "partial 23S ribosomal RNA". It matches the Rfam family "Bacterial large subunit ribosomal RNA", at positions 1 to 887 of the family's 2925-position model. Lineage: Bacteria; Pseudomonadati; Pseudomonadota; Gammaproteobacteria; Enterobacterales; Enterobacteriaceae. The record is from RNAcentral.